UUCGCCAGGGAACUACAAGCAUAGCUUAAAACCCAAAGGACUUGGCGGUGCCUCAGACCCACCUAGAGGAGCCUGUUCUAGAACCGAUAAUCCCCGUUAAACCUCACCACCCCUUGCCUUUCCCGCCUAUAUACCGCCGUCGUCAGCUUACCCUGUGAAGGCUUAAUAGUAAGCAAAAUGAGUUCAACCCAAAACGUCAGGUCGAGGUGUAGCGCACGAGGUGGGAAGAAAUGGGCUACAUUUUCUACCACAGAAUACCACGAAUAAUGCCCUGAAAACAGCAUCUGAAGGAGGAUUUAGUAGUAAAAAGUAAA
RNAcentral lists this ribosomal RNA (314 nucleotides) under Rineloricaria sp. Its description in RNAcentral is "partial 12S ribosomal RNA". It matches the Rfam family "Bacterial small subunit ribosomal RNA", at positions 868 to 1349 of the family's 1533-position model. The record is from RNAcentral. Lineage: Eukaryota; Metazoa; Chordata; Actinopteri; Siluriformes; Loricariidae.